RNAcentral lists this ribosomal RNA (556 nucleotides) under Polytomella piriformis. RNAcentral's name for it is "large subunit ribosomal RNA". It matches the Rfam family "Bacterial large subunit ribosomal RNA", at positions 1640 to 2438 of the family's 2925-position model. The record is from RNAcentral. Lineage: Eukaryota; Viridiplantae; Chlorophyta; Chlorophyceae; Chlamydomonadales; Chlamydomonadaceae.
AACUGUACCGCAAACCAACGCAGGUUCGUCGUAAAAAGGCUUAAAUUCAGGUAAAGGAACUCGGCAAAAAAUUUAAGGUGCUAGCAUCUUGAAGGUAUUGAGCAACGACUGUUUCCCAAAAACACAGGACUUUGCAAAGACAAAUGUUAAAGUAAAAAGUCUGAGGCCUGCCCAAAGGCUAAGCAAACGGCAGCUGUAACUCUAACGGCUCUAAGGUAGCGAAAUUCCUUGACAUUUAAAUGGUGUCCAGCAUGAAUGGCUUAACGACUGCUCGUCUGUCUCUAUCUGAAACGCUGUGAAUUUGAAUUGCUUGUGCAGAUGCAGGCAUAUGCGCAAGGGACGAAGAGACCCUAAGCAGCUUUAGAGGAAACAUUUUCCUAUCGGGAAUAGCAUGGAAUAAACCACAAAAAAUUAAGUACGAAAAUUAUUCCUCUUUUUCUGGGACGGACGCCUUCAACAAAGAAACGUAGGCGCGCAACAGCGAAAAACUUGACUUCUAUGACAACUAUCAACGAAGAGGAGAACAUCCAGCGAUACGAACAGAAAGAAAAUAGCA